RNAcentral lists this long non-coding RNA (241 nucleotides) under Elaeis guineensis (African oil palm). Its description in RNAcentral is "long non-coding RNA (EGUI_LNC002070)". Lineage: Eukaryota; Viridiplantae; Streptophyta; Magnoliopsida; Arecales; Arecaceae. The record is from RNAcentral.
UAUCAUUCCGUAAAUCUAGUUGAUCAAAGCUUUCAUAAUUUUGAAUUUCAAUGUUUCAUUUUGAACAUUAUACAUGGAAACAACUUUAUUGAUAAUACAUCUUCAAAUUAUCGAUAUUUCAAGAACAAGGAAUAGUCAUUCCAUCAAGAGUUUCUACCUGAUAUGCGUCCGGUCGAAGUAUCUCGGUUAUUCUGUAGGGUCCUUCCUAAUUUGAAGAUAAUUUUUUUCUGAUCUAGAGGCU